UACGUAGGUGGCAAGCGUUGUCCGGAUUUACUGGGCGUAAAGAGCGCGCAGGCGGUUUUGCAAGUCGCGUGUGAAAGCCCCCGGCUCAACUGGGGAGGGUCACGCGAUACUGUUCGACUUGAAGGCAGGAGAGGGAAGUGGAAUUCCCGGUGUAGUGGUGAAAUGCGUAGAUAUCGGGAGGAACACCAGUGGCGAAGGCGACUUCCUGGCCUGUUCUUGACGCUGAGGCGCGAAAGCUAGGGUAGCAAACGGG
RNAcentral lists this ribosomal RNA (253 nucleotides) under uncultured bacterium. RNAcentral describes it as "partial 16S ribosomal RNA". It matches the Rfam family "Bacterial small subunit ribosomal RNA", at positions 524 to 776 of the family's 1533-position model. The record is from RNAcentral.